Molecule: long non-coding RNA, 592 nt
Organism: Helianthus annuus (common sunflower)
Lineage: Eukaryota; Viridiplantae; Streptophyta; Magnoliopsida; Asterales; Asteraceae
Exons: 3
Source: RefSeq, a predicted model, not a curated record
AUAUUUUCAGCAUGACAAAAACGGUGGACUGAAUCUGGUCUUUUUGCUAUUUUAGUCAAAUUGAAAAACUUGAUAUUGGACCUGCAGAAUUGUUUUUUUAUCUUCUUUGGCAUUCAUCCACUUUGGGAAAAGUUUACCUGAUAUUGUUUUCGUUAAUGUCCGCCAAAUAAUUUAUUCAUUAUGCAUGCUUGUUAUAUAAUUUGUGCCCCCUUAGUCUCUUAUUGACCAAUUUGAACAUGGUGUAGGUUGUGAAAGCACAACACUCGACUCAAGGAAGGGAAUGCACUAUCAUACAUGUUGGAAUACCCUGGAUUGGACCUGAGCAUAGCUUUCUGAAAGAUCGAGGUUGUGCCGAAUAGUAUAUGAUCACUGAUGAAGAAGCAUUGGAAGGUACGGGGGAUGCUAUUUGCUAAAGAUGUCCGUAAACAGCUGUCUCAAAUAAUGCAGAAGAUUGCAAAAGGUUUGCCAUAACAGACUUGAAGGUUACAGAGAUUAUAUACUUGUACUCAAGUUUUUGGGUUGGAUUUCAAUGGAAUUCAUCUGUCAGAAUUAGAAAAAUAGCUGGAACCAAAAAACAAACUCGAAUCCUUUC